UACGGAAGGCAGCAGUGGGGAAUAUUGCACAAUGGGCGAAAGCCUGAUGCAGCCAUGCCGCGUGUAUGAAGAAGGCCUUCGGGUUGUAAAGUACUUUCAGUCGUGAGGAAGGUGUUAAGGUUAAUAACCUUAGCAAUUGACGUUAGCGACAGAAGAAGCACCGGCUAACUCCGUGCCAGCAGCCGCGGUAAUACGGAGGGUGCGAGCGUUAAUCGGAAUUACUGGGCGUAAAGGGCACGCAGGCGGUUAAUUAAGUUGGAUGUGAAAUCCCCGGGCUUAACCUGGGAAUGGCAUUCAAGACUGGUUAGCUAGAGUCUUGUAGAGGGGGUAGAAUUCCAUGUGUAGCGGUGAAAUGCGUAGAGAUGUGGAGGAAUACCGGUGGCGAAGGCGGCCCCCGUGGACAAAGACUGACGCUCAUGUGCGAAAGCGUGGGGAGCAAACAGGGAUUAGAUACC
RNAcentral lists this ribosomal RNA (455 nucleotides) under uncultured bacterium. RNAcentral's name for it is "bacterial SSU rRNA". It matches the Rfam family "Bacterial small subunit ribosomal RNA", at positions 340 to 786 of the family's 1533-position model. The record is from RNAcentral.